Molecule: non-coding RNA, 2631 nt
Organism: Pelodiscus sinensis (Chinese soft-shelled turtle)
Lineage: Eukaryota; Metazoa; Chordata; Testudines; Trionychidae
Source: RefSeq, a predicted model, not a curated record
UCCACUUUUUUUUUUGGUCCCACUGUCUCCAUAGUGUCUUUUCAUAGCUGUGAUUGAUUGAUUUAAUUGCCAAGUAGCUUUGCUUGGGAUAAUUCUGUAAUCUCAGCUUCUUAUCCUGUGAAGUAUCACUAAGCUUCUAAUUAUUUCAGAGGGCGAAAACAAUAAAUUGGAGAAACGCUAGCCAGCACAUUUGUAAUGUAGUGCGUGUAGGACGGGGCGGAAUACUUUGCUAAAGCAGGCCUGCAUGCCUAUAGCAGGAGGAAUGUGAGGAUUGGGAAAGGUUGUGCAAGGCCAAAUCAGUCACCUGCUGAUCCUGGGGCCUUGUAGCAAUGCUACACUGGAAACAGCUUCAGGUUCAAGCCUGCCUUAAAGACACAGCCCCACACGGUGCAUGACAGGAAGCUGCACUGUCAUGCAGACUCUCUCUCAGGAAUGUAAGAAGAGUACGCCUGCUGCCACUAGCCACAGACUGCAAACCACUCCCCAGCAGGGCCACAAUCACACCUCCGCUAGGCUCUUUGAUUCUGCAGCUGCAACACUGACAAGUGUGUUGCUAUGUGAGAGAGGAGAAGCUAGCUCCACCCAGAGCUGUUUUGGCUAUUCAGGACUAAAAUGUUUCUUGUCACCCCCACACAAUUCUGAAACACCUCCCUUCACAAAGACAAUUGUAUUAAAACCCAACCCCUGUGGUAAUCCUCUUUCAGAGCAGAACUGCAGCUAGAUAUCACAGAAUGUCACAGGGCAAUGUUUAUAUUAAAAAUAUGCUUGUCUGACAGCAGAGGCAGGCUCCUGGGCCCUACUUAAUGUUUGCUGAGGUUCUGAAAUUGGCCAUGUUGUUAGAGAUCUAAAUUACUAAUGCCAUUUAUAAUCCUAAACUGGUCUGUAGCGUCUACAGAUUUCAAUUGUUCCCUUUCAUUUAAAGUAUAUGCUGAUGAGUCAUGAUACUAUAUUAACCACCAGCAGCACAUAUGAUCACUAUUUUGAUUCACAAGUGAUUUAGGUUCGGCUUCAGUAAAGGUAACAUGACUAGCCUAUUAUAAAUGGACAGAGUGCCCUCUGCUGUUUGGUAAUAAUGUGGCUCAUCCAGUGUUUCUAUACACCCAUUUUUCCUUUCUAUGCAAAACAGAUGUAUUUGCAUAUGGGACCUUCAAGCUAGGUACUUCAACCCAGAAAUAAAAGUAGCCUUAUUUUCAGAGGUGCUAAGCACUCAGCGCUCUUAUUGAUCCUACAUACUUUGGUUACAGGAUUUGCAACAUUAGAUGACUGUUGAUCCAUGCAGUCUAGAGACCUGCCUUAAUCCACGUGCAAUAUACCUGAUGCUGUAAGAAAACUGAAAAAUCCUGCAUGUACAGCACCUCACCUAUCGUGGGCAUUAUCAGAGACACACUGGCCUCAAUUUUCAAAUCUGGAUACCUAGAGUUAGGCACCUAAAUAGAAUUGAGCACAGUUUCACUGACCAAUGUAGUUAAAGAUGUUUAAAGGAAUUUAUAACAUUUUUUAAGCCCUCACCAGUCAGAGAAAUGUUGUGGAGCCCUGCUAACAACCAUACUGCCAUAUGGCAAAGAUUGCUAAAAUUGAGUGUGCGUAAUAGGCUGCUGAUUGUCACAGGCUGUAUAGAACCCCAUUAACUAAAUGACUCAUGGUGUAAGUUAUUUCUUUUUAGUAUUUCUUCUUUGUAGCCUAAUUCCAUGCACUUUGCCAGAAAAGUGCAGAGGACAUCCUUUAAAAACAUGGUUUCUUUUUUCAUAAAAUGAUCCUUAUACACAUUACCUAUAGUUGAUCUUGUACAGGGUUGCAGAGGAAACGGAUAUUAACUUUCUUUAAAGAUGAAAUAUGCUAAUAAGCAUGCACUUCUUGCUUGUUUUGUCUAACUUUGUAAUGUCACUUGAGCUGCUAAGAUGAGUCAACUCUCUGAGUGUGUUAAUUUGCACAGCUCCAGUUUACACAAGCAUUGGAUUAAUUACUGGCUGAUUAACUUGUCUUAAAAAGGAAGUGAAUGUUUGCCAUUCUUUUACUAUGAUCUGUUAAAUAUCAAUGGGAACAUAAAAUAAACAAGUAUGUUUCAGGAGAAAAAAAUCAAUUUCCAACAAAUAGUUACUAUAUUUUGUAAUUUUUUUUUACAUGAAAUGAGACAUCCAAAUACAGCUAAGUUCCAUUAAUACAUACUUAAACACUAAAAGCUAACCAACUCCCCAAAUUAACCCUCUGCACCCUCCUAAUCCUUUAAAAGUUAGACAUAGAUUCUUAGAUUUUAACAUUGUGCAGUAUUCCCUGAUCCAUACACCGUCAGUUACACACCCAUGCAACUUUGUACAAUAAUAUUGACUAUAAAGUUGAAACAUUUUUACUUCUUUGGCUUUACUGAGGUUCAAAUUAACCAUGUAGAAAAAAUAUAAAAAUCAAGUUUAAAAUUUCAAACUAAUUGAAAAGUACAAUUAAAAAUCACAAUUAUAAUUCCUUAUUUAAAAACCUGUGUUGGCAGAGUCCCUUUGAUUUACCAUUGUACACAUUGACAUUAAAACAAGCGCUACAGAAUAAAUGUUCAAAGCAUUGCUAAGGGUUGGCAGCUGAAUAGCCCCUCCUAAACCACAAAUACACACAUAGGCUGUGUCUAGACUGGCCAGUUUUUCC